RNAcentral lists this long non-coding RNA (254 nucleotides) under Gallus gallus (chicken). Lineage: Eukaryota; Metazoa; Chordata; Aves; Galliformes; Phasianidae. The record is from RNAcentral.
GGCUGAGUAGCAGUAACUCCUCUAUAUGUUCCAAAGCUUUCUGCCACACUGACUGCUUUUCUUCAGCACUGUAGCCAGGCAUGGACAGGAUGUUGUGAAUAUAGUUGAAAACUUCUUCCUUUCUCACUGGAUCACGCAGGUAACAGUCAAUGAUUUUGUCAUAGCGAAGCUCUCGUUCGUACAUGAACUCACAGAUCUGAUAGAAUUCAGCUUUUUCUGCCAUUUGGAUCAGACGGCUCUCUUCAAACUGCACU